RNAcentral lists this long non-coding RNA (623 nucleotides) under Ananas comosus (pineapple). RNAcentral's name for it is "long non-coding RNA (ACOM_LNC022086)". The record is from RNAcentral. Lineage: Eukaryota; Viridiplantae; Streptophyta; Magnoliopsida; Poales; Bromeliaceae.
GAACCUAAAGCGGCUCAACCCAAAUCAAAUAUAAAAGGUUCAAGCCAACCCAAAACCAAAGUCCAUAAAUAAAACCCAAAGAUCCAAAGUCCACAAAUUAAACCCAAAACCCAAAGUCUACAAAUAAAAUCCAAAACCCAAAGUCCACAAAUAAAUCCAAACGACCGUAAAGUCGUUAAACUACACCCAAAUUCAAACGACCGUAAAGUCAUUAAACUAAAUCCAAAAUCAAACGACUGCAAAGUCGCUAAACUAAACAACCAAAUCCAAACGACCGUAAAGUCGUUAAACUAAACCCAAAUUCAAACGACCGCGAAGUCGUUAAACUAAACAAUCAAAUUCAAAUGACCAUCAAGUCGUUAAACUGAAUUCAAAUUCAAAUUACCAUCAAGUCGUUAAACUGAACAUUUGACCGUCAAGUCGUUAAACUGAAUUCAAAUUCAAAUUGACCCUCAAGCAGUUAAACUGAACAAAUGACCAUCAAGUCGUUAAACUGAAUAUUUGACCAUCAAGUCAUUAAACUGAAUAUUUGACUGUCAAGUCGUUAAACUGAAUACUUAACCAUCAAGUCGUUAAACUGAACAUCUGACCGUCAAGUCAUUAAAUUGAGUUCAAAUUCAAAU